This 442-nucleotide ribosomal RNA is filed under the name uncultured bacterium. RNAcentral describes it as "partial 16S ribosomal RNA". It matches the Rfam family "Bacterial small subunit ribosomal RNA", at positions 338 to 795 of the family's 1533-position model. The record is from RNAcentral.
CCUACGGGUGUCUGCAGUGGGGAAUAUUGCGCAAUGGGCGAAAGCCUGACCCAGCAACGCCGCGUGAAGGAAGAAGGCUUUCGGGUUGUACACUUCUUUUGACAGGGAAGAGCAGAAGACGGUACCUGUCGAAUACGCCACGGCUCACUCCGUGCCAGCCGCCGCGGUAAUACGUAGGUCGCAAGCGUUGUCCGGAUUUACUGGGUGGAAAGGGCGUGUAGCCGGGCUGACUAGUCAGAUGUGAAAUCCGGGGGCUCAACCCCCGAACAGCAUUUGAAACGGUUGGUCUUGAGUAUCGGAGAGGCAGGCGGAAUUCCUGGUGUAGCGGUGAAAUGCGUAGAUAUUAGGAGGAACACCAGUGGCGAAGGCGGCCUGCUGGACGACAACUGACGGUGAGGCGCGAAAGCGUGGGGAGCAAACAGGAUUAGAUACCCCUGUAGUC